Molecule: long non-coding RNA, 1715 nt
Organism: Homo sapiens (human)
Lineage: Eukaryota; Metazoa; Chordata; Mammalia; Primates; Hominidae
Gene: NECTIN3-AS1
Product: NECTIN3 antisense RNA 1
Source: Ensembl
GAGAUUUAAAAGGGACAGGAAAAUCUGGAAUAGCAUCUUCAACUAAAGAUGUCAAAGCACAAGCUCACUUCCCACGGAAGGUAGCAAUUACUAUUAUCUACUUGACAGCUACAAGAACCUAGGCACAGAGGUUAAGUGCUCUGCAAAUACUACCAGCCAGUGGUGGUUUUCCUGCCAGAACCAAGUUCUUGCCUUCCAGUGGACACCAUUGAUCUCUCAAGAUGAUUCUUUAAGUUAAAAAGAAAUGUGAAAUCUCUUAGGCCAAGAAGAACAACCUGAGGACUCUCUUUCUGGAGGUAAUUGAACUCCUUUAGUAAAUCCAGAGGAGAAAUCUGAGAUCAGUACAUCUUUUGUAUCUAUGAUAGCUAAGGAUACAUCACUUGAAAGAUUCACUGUACUAACUACUUUCUUCAGCAUUUGACUCUUGGUCCUUGUGUUGUGAGCUCCUUGUUCCUGCAAAGCUGGCUGGGGUCACCAUAGUGGGUCAAAAAAAAAUUCAUCAAUGAAAAAGAUAGGGAAUCUCCAAUCUCUAUCCCAAGACAUGUUCUCGAUGACUUGAGCACAUCACACAUCAGCAGAUGCUCAGGAUACAGAAGAGAGAUUUCAUCUACGGGAAAAAGACCCUCUGAAAAGAAGUGUGAAAUCAUCAAAAGAGCCAUUGGAGGGGACACCAGAGAGUCGUGUGGCUGAGGUUUCACAUGAUCCCGCCAUGCUUCCAGUCCAGAGGAGAAAGCUAGACCCACUCCUCAAAAAGUAUAGGCAUCAUAAGAAGGCCACAAGGACAAAAAGAAGGAGGAAGGAGAAAAUGGAGGCCCAGUGCUCCCCUGUUCCUCCAACACCUUCAACACCACCACAAAGUGAAGAAGAUGAGGCUGUAGACAAAAAGCCAACUCUACUCAGUGCCCAGGAAGAUACUCCUGACCUUCUCCAUGAGGACAGAUUACAGUAUCUGCAGGAAGAGGGUUCCGGUGUGAUGCAUCAGGAAUGUCAGAUCCAGUCCUGUGAGCUCUCGGUGGCUCAGAAGCCCAGGCCCUCUUCUCCUGCAGUGACAUCCUUGGCAUCACCACCACUCUGCUUUGGCAGUUUCCUAAGCUGUGUCUGCCAGACCUUCUCAAGGUCUAGGAAGCAGAAGCCUCCCAGAAGAAAGGGUAACAACCAGGCUGAGGCAGGAGAGAGAUGAACCCGGUACCUCAGAUGGAAAUGCAGAAAUCACCGUCUUCUGCGUCGCUCACGCUGGGAGCUGCAGACGGGAGCUGUUCCUAUUCGGCCAUCUUGGCUCCUCCCAUAGGACACCUUUCUAAAGUCAGUCAUGCUUUGAUACUUUUAGUUGUCUAAAAAGUGGUUGAUUUCUCAUUUUAAACAGUAUUGAGUUUUCUUGAGCUAAUUGACCGUGAUAAAUGGGUUUUAUUACAUAAAAUUUCAAAUUAUCCAAACUAUAUCUAUAUUUACAUACAUAUUUUCUCCAUUUAAUACAAGAAGCACACUCCCAGGUAAGGCAUCAUGUAUGAAAGUCCUGAGUCAUCGAGCCUGUUAUUAAAAGCUCACCAGAAUGCAGGUAUUCGUGUUGGUAUUAUACUUUAUUAUUGUUAUUACUUAUCAUAAUAAGUGUUUCAGGUUAGUUUUUCUAUCAUAGAAAAACUAUUAGUGGGAGCCUAGUUAGCCAUAUCUUCAGCCCCAUCUACAAUACUGAUUUUCACAUAAAAGUUAUUUGCUAC